RNAcentral lists this ribosomal RNA (812 nucleotides) under uncultured Actinomycetes bacterium. RNAcentral's name for it is "bacterial SSU rRNA". It matches the Rfam family "Bacterial small subunit ribosomal RNA", at positions 68 to 861 of the family's 1533-position model. Lineage: Bacteria; Bacillati; Actinomycetota; Actinomycetes. The record is from RNAcentral.
GAGAACCGGGGCUUCGGCCCCGGGGACAGCGGCGAACGGGUGAGUAACACUUGGGUAAUCCACCCUCGGCACCGGGAUAGCCCGGGGAAACCCGGAUUAAUACCGGAUGGCCCUUCCGCCCCUCGGGGCGGUCGGAAAAGGUAGCUUCGGCCUCCGGCCGAGGACGAGCCCGCGGCGGAUUAGCUUGUUGGUGGGGUAACGGCCCACCAAGGCUCCGAUCCGUAGCUGGUCUGAUAGGACUAUCAGCCCCAUUGGGACUGAUACUCGGCCCAUACUCCUACGGGAGGCAGCAGUGGGGAAUCUUGCCCAUUGGGCGCAAGCCUGAGGCAGCGACGCCGCGUGAGGGAAGAAGGCCUUCNGGUUGUAAACCUCUUUCAGGAGGGACGAAGCCACUCGGGUUAAUAGCCCAUAGGGUGACGGUACCUCCGGAAGAAGCCCCGGCUAACUACUUGCCAGCAGCCGCGGUAAUACUUAGGGUGCAAGCGUUGUCCGGAUUUACUGGGCGUAAAGAGCGUGUANGCGGCCGUGCAUGUCUGUUGUGAAAACUGGAGGCUUNUCCUCCAGACUUCGACAGAUACCGUGCGGCUAGAUUCCGGAAGAGGAGAGUUGAAUUCCUGGUGUACCGGUAAAAUGCUCAGAUAUCAGGGAANAUCACCAUGGGCGAAUGCAGCUCUCUUUGGACGGUACUUGACUCUGUCAUNCNAAUUCGUGCGUUNUCAACUUGUAUUAGAUCCCCUGGUAGUCCGCGCCUUAAACUAUGGGUGUUAGGUGUUGUUAUGUGUCUAUUCCUUCCGUGCCCCAUCUAACGUUUA